GAUGAAGAACGCAGCGAAAUGCGAUAAGUAAUGUGAAUUGCAGAAUUCAGUGAAUCAUCGAAUCUUUGAACGCACAUUGCGCCCGCCAGUAUUCUGGCGGGCAUGCCUGUUCGAGCGUCAUUUCAACCAUCAAGCCCCCGGGCUUGUGUUGGGGCCCUGCGGCUGCCGCAGGCCCUGAAAAGCAGUGGCGGGCUCGCUGUCACACCGAGCGUAGUAGCAUACAUCUCGCUCUGGGCGUGCUGCGGGUUCCGGCCGUUAAACCACCUUUUAACCCAAGGUUGACCUCGGAUCAGGUAGGAAGACCCGCUGAACUUAAGCAUAUCAAUAAGCGGAGGA
RNAcentral lists this unclassified non-coding RNA (336 nucleotides) under soil metagenome. RNAcentral's name for it is "partial contains 5.8S ribosomal RNA, internal transcribed spacer 2, and large subunit ribosomal RNA". The stretch from base 1 to 120 matches the Rfam family "5.8S ribosomal RNA", at positions 35 to 154 of the family's 154-position model. The record is from RNAcentral.